Molecule: ribosomal RNA, 164 nt
Filed under: Scirpus pallidus
Lineage: Eukaryota; Viridiplantae; Streptophyta; Magnoliopsida; Poales; Cyperaceae
Description: 5.8S ribosomal RNA
Rfam family: 5.8S ribosomal RNA
About the family: 5.8S ribosomal RNA (5.8S rRNA) is a component of the large subunit of the eukaryotic ribosome. It is transcribed by RNA polymerase I as part of the 45S precursor that also contains 18S and 28S rRNA.
Source: RNAcentral
AUAUGACUCUCGGCAACGGAUAUCUCGGCUCUCGCAUCGAUGAAGAACGUAGCGAAUGCGAUACGUGGUGUGAAUUGCAAAAUCCCGUGAACCAUCMAGUCUUUGAACGCAAGUUGCGCCCGAGGGACCCUCCCCAGGGCACGCCUGCCUCAUGGGCGUUAGAA